UAACCGCUACUGAUAUUAUCUCAUCGACUAGUAGUAAGGGCACUCCCUUAUCGUUAAUCCUAGGCAAGUUCUUAGAUUCGUUGUACUGCGGUAAUGAAUAAUCCUGUUGGCCGACUGGGGCGUUUGAAAACCUGGUACUUGUAAACAAGAAACAGCUAAAGAACGACUUAUCAUUUUAUUCUAACAGUGCGCAGGGCGAUGUUUCGUUAACUUCGCCAUUACUUGUACUAGUUUUAUGUACCGAAACAUGUCUUACAGUAUGAAUCACGCUUGUCUGGAGUGCCCAAGCCGUUCAUUCAGCCGCCUUGUUUUGCAAAGGUACGCAGAGAGUGACGCCGUACCGCACACGGUCAUACGGCAAGAUGCAAAAAUUCGAAUGUAACAGAGUUGGAAAAACGCCAAUGUUUUACUAAUACAAAAAAAAUGGAGCCAUAAAAGAAUUUAAACUAGACAUGUCAGCCUCAUCAUUGUACAAAGUAUUCACGAAGAUAAUUUCGAAUAGGAUAAGAGCCAAGUAAACUUGACUUUGAAGGGACCCUGAAACUGUCUUUGAAAUUUUUUGUAAGAAUUUAUUCUACAUCAUCAUCAAAUCAUUUGCACCAUGAAUUGAGCCACGCACAGCAUACCAAGGCAACUGCAAGCAAUUAUAGUGACACCCUCCUCGACCCUGCUUUGCCUCCUCAACUUGUCAAACAGCCAACCGUCACGCGCACUCGACAGGUCAAGCUCCAUCGAGCACGCGCCGUCAGGCAACAGAGACCAAGUGUGUGGAAGAUCUGCUCUGCAAUGUGCCACCACACUACCAGCUGUUCUUAUAUUCUCUUGUACGGUGACCAUCUCCAAAAGCAUGCGGACAAACAAAAGGAGCAACACAGUAGGAUGACUAAAGGACGCAACACUUCUGGACGGGAAUUACAUGUUCAAGAAUUGUUUUGAAAUGUACAAGGAAGAUAUUGGCAUUCUCCUUGCGCCAUCAGCUGUUCAACAUCUGCGAGCUGCAAAGGCUCUCCUGUAUGACAAGGAAGCAGUAGACGCGUCAUUCGCAAUGCUCAUUUUAUGUGCUUCCAAGGGAUGCAGCCAAAGGACGACCUGCGGAUGUGCGAGUCACGUUUAUGGGAGCUGCAAAAAAGAAUUAAAGUGUAUCCCCAGUGUUUGUUAUAUACUUUUAUUAUACUAUAACAGUAUAUUUCUGAACAAACCAUCUGAAACAUGGCGGAUUGGUGGCACUGCAGAAAGCCUAUGAAUGCUUGUCAAAGCAUAGAAAUACACAAAGCAGCAUAAAAUCUUGCCACUUGUGUGGCCGUUGCAUCUUUCCCUUGCCCCAAGGAAGCGGACUUACGAGCUGCCGUCCAAGGACGCGGCACAUGCUCAACAUAAAUUUUUCUCACUUAAAACAAAAAUCACUAUAAUUAAACUUUCAGAAUCGAAUUUCCUUUGUACACCCUUCGAAACAAGUGCAAUUUUAAUUUGACUGCAUCACCAAACUGCAUGUGCCUGAACAUAAGUCAUGCAUUUCUUUAACUCACUCUCAAUUCCAAAUAGCGUUACAGAGGAGAGUUGUUAAUACAUGUACAUUAUACAAUGUUAAGCAAGGCAGCUUGAAAAGAUUAAUGGUCUGGGUUAUUGGCGACAAAGGCGAGGAGGUGGUUCUAUUCAGAUGCUGUCUUUGGCAGAAUUGAAUCGAAAAAAAAAAAAAGUUCGUGUGGCAAUUUGGUACUUGGACUUUGAUGUGGUCUAUUCGUAUUUCUGUGUAUAUGGGUGGUGCGACACCCCAUUUACACAUUUUUCUAUGUUUGCGCCCCUCAUUCUUUGAAACUUCUCGGUCAUCGACUUCCAUACUUUUAUGACACACUUACUGGCAACUAUCCUGGCAUGUGGUGUUAUUGUAUUGUGUUGAUAUACAUUGUGGAAUUUUUUAAAAAUUCUCAGAAUGGACGCAGAAUGGCCUUUUUGCUUCACCACAAAGCAUAUCGCGAGACUGAAUAGCGGACGCAAUGGGAGGAAAUAAGAAAUCACCAUUCCUUUUCUAGCAACCACUAUGGCAACGUUCAAAUCCCUCCCAAGGACACAGAAAAAAAUUUUCUUACAAUGACAGUUUCAUGAAGGAAGCCGAAUAUUGCACAAAAAUGCUUGGCCACGAUUUUUAGAACAGAAUCUUGAGAAGUACGAGUGCAAUGUCGCGGACGUUUGGCAUAGAAGGACCCCAUCAAAGAGACGCGCCACGGUGGUGUGGUUAUCCAAAGGGCGCGGGAACGAAUCCCGGCCACGGCGGCCGCAUUUAACUUGUAAAGGAUGAGCGAUAGACGUUAAUGAUACCCUGAGACGAGAGACGAUUCUGUACAAAUGCUGUGUGGCCAGGUUUAUGUGACUACAGGUUGUCUAAAUCGUCUUGGUAUACUUUAAAUAUUGCAAUCUAUGCACACUGCUCUGAAGCCCAUAUUUCUGUCCACCUUUUCUUGGAGAGCAAUUUCAUUCGUACAAUCUCACUUCUUUCCAUGUGGUGUCUAUUUGUAACCAUGCGGAAGAACAAAUGCGAUAUCGUUUUAAAAAUCCGGACAGAAAGUUCUAGUUCGUUGGAAUCGAUCGAGAACUGAGGACAUGUUUCGAACGAGAACAGAAAACACGAUGCGUCGUCUAUUCUCUAAAGUCCGUGUAUGCGCAGCUCACGCUCUUCCACAUUAAACACGCAGGCCUUGGUCGCUAUAGUUAACGCGAUAUUAAAGCAGAAAAGCGUCAUUCCCAAAUGCAAGGGCAGCGGUAGCAGUAGAAGCACUACAUAUUCGCCUUACCACGCGGGCCGCGCAAGCUUGUGCAGGAUGCAGUGGCGUUUUGCUUACCUUCUGACGACCAGUAGGCAAAGUGUCGCAUAUCAUAUAUUGGUGCUUGAUGCUCCGGGUGGUGCUACAUAUGACCACCGCGUAUAUAUACAUAUAGAUUUCACAAUGUCACGUAGAACAGCGCAGAAGUUUGGAAGUUGUACGCACGCGUUGGAGCCAGAAAAGUAAACAGGAAGUCGCCAUGACGCUUGCAGCAGGAAGCAGGUGGCGCUUCACGCAAUCAGAAACCUAAACCGAAAUCGCGAUUUUUAAGCGCCUUCAAUCGAUCCGUCAUUUGCGGGCGCCAAUCAUAAAUGCAUAAAAUAGAGAACUUUUUCUCCAUGGGAAACAUUU
Long non-coding RNA from Rhipicephalus sanguineus (brown dog tick), 3170 nucleotides. RefSeq lists it as uncharacterized. The transcript is spliced from 3 exons. NCBI's taxonomy places the organism in Eukaryota, Metazoa, Arthropoda, Arachnida, Ixodida, Ixodidae. The record is from RefSeq and is a predicted model, not a curated record.